Molecule: ribosomal RNA, 103 nt
Filed under: uncultured archaeon
Lineage: Archaea
Description: partial 16S ribosomal RNA
Source: RNAcentral
AACCCUUUCAGCAAUGCCACUGAAAGUGGUGAUGGAGGAGACCUCCURAGUGCCUWUGCACUGCAUAGUCUUUUSCCRAGUGUAAAAGCUUGGAGAAUAAGUG